RNAcentral lists this ribosomal RNA (482 nucleotides) under uncultured Flavobacteriaceae bacterium. Its description in RNAcentral is "bacterial SSU rRNA". It matches the Rfam family "Bacterial small subunit ribosomal RNA", at positions 28 to 505 of the family's 1533-position model. Lineage: Bacteria; Pseudomonadati; Bacteroidota; Flavobacteriia; Flavobacteriales; Flavobacteriaceae. The record is from RNAcentral.
GAUGAACGCUAGCGGAAGGCCUAAUACAUGCAAGUCGAGGGGUAACAGGAGAGCUUGCUCUCGCUGACGACCGGCGCACGGGUGCGGAACGCGUAUGGAACCUACCUCAAUCAGGGGGAUAGCCCAGGGAAACUUGGAUUAAUACCCCAUAGUAUUGUUUUAUUGCAUGAUAGAACAAUUAAAACUUCGGUGGAUUGAGAUGGCCAUGCGUAUCAUUAGCUAGUUGGUAAGGUAACGGCUUACCAAGGCAACGAUGAUUAGGGGCCCUGAGAGGGGGAUCCCCCACACUGGUACUGAGACACGGACCAGACUCCUACGGGAGGCAGCAGUGAGGAAUAUUGGACAAUGGUCGAAAGACUGAUCCAGCCAUGCCGCGUGCAGGAUGACUGCCCUAUGGGUUGUAAACUGCUUUUGUACGAGAAGAACACCCUCUUCGUGAAGAGGACUGACGGUAUCGUACGAAUAAGGACCGGCUAACUCCG